RNAcentral lists this ribosomal RNA (322 nucleotides) under uncultured soil bacterium. Its description in RNAcentral is "bacterial SSU rRNA". It matches the Rfam family "Bacterial small subunit ribosomal RNA", at positions 26 to 348 of the family's 1533-position model. The record is from RNAcentral.
AGAUUGAACGCUGGCGGCAUGCCUUACACAUGCAAGUCGAACGGCAGCACGGGAGCAAUCCUGGUGGCGAGUGGCGAAACGGGUGAGUAAUAUAUCGGAACGUGCCCAGUCGUGGGGGAUAACGCAGCGAAAGCUGUGCUAAUACCGCAUACGAUCUAUGGAUGAAAGCGGGGGAUCGCAAGACCUCGCGCGAUUGGAGCGGCCGAUAUCAGAUUACGCUAGUGGUGGGGUAAAAGCCUACCAAGGCGACGAUCGUGUAGCUGGUCUGAGAGGACGACCAGCCACGACUGGGACUGAGACGACGGCCAGACUCCUAGGGAGG